This is a long non-coding RNA of Puntigrus tetrazona (Sumatra barb), 2035 nucleotides long. RefSeq lists it as uncharacterized. The record is from RefSeq and is a predicted model, not a curated record. Lineage: Eukaryota; Metazoa; Chordata; Actinopteri; Cypriniformes; Cyprinidae. The transcript has 3 exons.
UGCACUUUCCAAAGCAGUCGGACUUAAUAAAAAUGUUUUUAUGUUGAGUCUGUAUAGUUUUCCUCUUAUUUAAAUGUAACAUUGAUUUAAUGCUUUUUGCAGGGAUGUAUAAAUGUGUUUUGCUUGACUGUAGUGCUGUUUGCGUUUCACUGGUUGUUUUUAUACUGACUUUUAACAUUCUGGAUUAUUGGAUAACCUACUGGAUUAUUAUUAUUGAUUUUGGCCGACUGUUAGAAUAAUUUCAGGUAACUUCAAUUAGGCACUGUUAUUUGGGAGGACAUCGAGGUCAUGAACAGAACUAGAAUAUUGCUUAACAUUUUUAAUUUCAAGUCUAAAAUGUCCUGUUGUGAAUGAGAGUUAAGUUUGAAAUUGUACAGUAGAAGUUUACAAGCCAGUGACUGAGAGAUCGACCUCCUUCAGUGGACUUUCUUUUUCCUCCUGAGUUUUAUCUUGCAUGACCAGUUUUACAAAAGUGUAGGACGAGGACUUUGUUUUGUAUAGAUGCACUUUUUGUAGACCGGAAAUAAUAAUAAAAAGGGUUACUUUUAUUUACUGCACAAAUUGAUUUUGCAGGUGUGACACUUAUUCUUGAUACACCACAUUUUAGUGACGCGAGUGAUCUAUUAAACCGUAUCAUCAUUAUUUAAAAUGUAUACAAGCACCUUGAACUGGGUGAAUACCAUGGUACGUGCAUGUUAAUCAAUACCCCUGUAUAUCUUCACACGAUGUCACCAGAUGUACCAUGCUGCACCCUUAAGGCCUGUCUUCUUGACCACGUCCAGCUGCAGCGAAGACGUGGCGCGGGUCAUCAUGCACCAGGGACAAGAGAGUACUGCCCUCCUGAAUACCUGAUGAGCGGCCAGUACCACGGGGAACCAGUCUUUUCCCAAAGAUACGUGAACACCUGGGCCAAAGAUGGCUGAUCAAAAGCGCUGGCGGUUCUGGCCAUGGGCCUGUUUCAUCUUAAAGAUGGAUCACGGGGAAAACGCUGUGCGUAGGGCUUUCCACAUCACCAUGGGAAUCCAGGUACAAGUGUGAUCAUUACCCCACAAACCAGUUUCCAAUGAACAAGGGCUGCUUGGAAUCUGCAUGGCAGCGCAUCAUUUAAAUACACAAAUAGCCAAACGCAUUAGACACCAGUAAUGCGCUGGUUUGAUGUGCGGUAAAUAUCUAACGCAUCCUGAUAAGGGGUCCGACUCCUGUCACAUCGAUCGAAUACCGCCCUCUUCGUUGUGAGACCACGCCCCUUUUUUUCUGCUUCACAACUUGAAUCAGAAACUGCACGUUUUUUCAAACUUUUCAAAAAUGUGACAUUGCUGGUAAAUAGCGUGGCUACGCAUUUUAGGCAAUCGCAAUAAUCCACAACACUCCAUCGGUUGCCAUUUUCAUGACAUGAACUAAUCCAGCGAGAAAGUUCAUCCACUGUUGUCCAAAGUGCUGGACCUAUUCAUAUUUCUCCCCUGAUUCAGACGAGAUUACUUUCUCGCUGGAGAAAGCAAGACUUGUAUUUAAGACAGAAGGAACGGUUUCCGGUUAAAAACAUAUUAAAGAUGCACGUGUUUCUUACAAACACACCGCUUUUGGCUUCACAAGACUGGACUGGUGUGGAGCACUUAUGGAUUAUUGUGAUAUUUUCUUUCAUCAGCUGUUUGGACUCUCAUUCUGACGGCACCCAUUCACUGCAGAAGAUCCGUUGAUAAGCCAGUGAUGGAGUGCUUCAUUUCUCUAAACUUCAUGGCCUGAAGGUCAGCCUAUUUAAAUUUCUGGGUGAAGUAUUCCUAUGCUUUAAUUCCACUGUGUAAAAACGUAUGACUUCAAGCUAGAACUAGUAAUUAUAUGGUUUACACUGUAACUUUUAUUUCGAAAGGCUUUUGGAAACAAAGGCGUUGUAAAAGGCUGAGCCAAUUAAUUUUCUGAAAUUGAGUGAAAACUUGAAAUCGGCCGUGGAGAAUGGAGAGGCGAUUGCACGCUUUGACAUUGAUUUGUUAAUUAGAUUGGAGAGUUGAGCGAAGUCUGAUUAGGAAGUGGUUAAUGA